Molecule: ribosomal RNA, 822 nt
Filed under: Sordariomycetes sp. genotype 462
Lineage: Eukaryota; Fungi; Ascomycota; Sordariomycetes
Description: eukaryotic LSU rRNA
Rfam family: Eukaryotic large subunit ribosomal RNA (bases 244-822)
Source: RNAcentral
UGCAGAAUUCAGUGAAUCAUCGAAUCUUUGAACGCACAUUGCGCCCGGCAGUACUCUGCCGGGCAUGCCUGUUCGAGCGUCAUUUCAACCCUCAAGCCCUGCUUGGUGUUGGGGUCCUACGGCUGCCGUAGGCCCUGAAAGGAAGUGGCGGGCUCGCUGCAACUCCGAGCGUAGUAACUAACUGUCUCGCUAGGGAGGUUGCGGCCUGCUCCUGCCGUUAAAGACCACAUCUUUAACCAAGGUUGACCUCGGAUCAGGUAGGAAUACCCGCUGAACUUAAGCAUAUCAAUAAGCGGAGGAAAAGAAACCAACAGGGAUUGCCCUAGUAACGGCGAGUGAAGCGGCAACAGCUCAAAUUUGAAAUCUGGCUUCGGCCCGAGUUGUAAUUUGUAGAGGAUGCUUUUGGCGAGGUGCCUUCUGAGUUCCCUGGAACGGGACGCCAUAGAGGGUGAGAGCCCCGUAUAGUCGGACACCUAGCCUCUGUAAAGCUCCUUCGACGAGUCGAGUAGUUUGGGAAUGCUGCUCAAAAUGGGAGGUAUAUCUCUUCUAAAGCUAAAUAUAGGCCAGAGACCGAUAGCGCACAAGUAGAGUGAUCGAAAGAUGAAAAGCACUUUGAAAAGAGGGUUAAAUAGCACGUGAAAUUGUUGAAAGGGAAGCGCUUGUGACCAGACUUGUGCCGGGCUGAUCAUCCAGUGUUCUCACUGGUGCACUCGACCCGGCUCAGGCCAGCGUCGGUUCUCGCGGGGGGAUAAAAGCUUCGGGAACGUGGCUCCUCCGGGAGUGUUAUAGCCCGUUGCUUAAUACCCUCGCGGGGACCGAGGU